RNAcentral lists this ribosomal RNA (500 nucleotides) under uncultured Lachnospiraceae bacterium. RNAcentral describes it as "bacterial SSU rRNA". It matches the Rfam family "Bacterial small subunit ribosomal RNA", at positions 151 to 667 of the family's 1533-position model. The record is from RNAcentral. Lineage: Bacteria; Bacillati; Bacillota; Clostridia; Lachnospirales; Lachnospiraceae.
UGGAAACGACUGCUAAUACCGCAUAAGCCCACGACCCGGCAUCGGGUAGAGGGAAAAGGAGCAAUCCGCUUUGAGAUGGCCUCGCGUCCGAUUAGCUAGUUGGUGAGGUAACGGCCCACCAAGGCGACGAUCGGUAGCCGGACUGAGAGGUUGAACGGCCACAUUGGGACUGAGACACGGCCCAGACUCCUACGGGAGGCAGCAGUGGGGAAUAUUGCACAAUGGGGGAAACCCUGAUGCAGCGACGCCGCGUGGAGGAAGAAGGUCUUCGGAUUGUAAACUCCUGUUGUUGAGGAAGAUAAUGACGGUACUCAACAAGGAAGUGACGGCUAACUACGUGCCAGCAGCCGCGGUAAAACGUAGGUCACAAGCGUUGUCCGGAAUUACUGGGUGUAAAGGGAGCGCAGGCGGGAAGACAAGUUGGAAGUGAAAUCCAUGGGCUCAACCCAUGAACUGCUUUCAAAACUGUUUUUCUUGAGUAGUGCAGAGGUAGGCGGAAU